GCACUUGUAGUUAAACGGAUAUAACACUCGGCUACGAACCGGGCAUUGGGGGUUCGAUUCCCUCCAGGUGCA
RNAcentral lists this transfer RNA (72 nucleotides) under Youngiibacter fragilis 232.1. Its description in RNAcentral is "Clostridium sp. 232.1 tRNA". It matches the Rfam family "tRNA". Rfam says of the family: Transfer RNA (tRNA) molecules are approximately 80 nucleotides in length. Lineage: Bacteria; Bacillati; Bacillota; Clostridia; Eubacteriales; Clostridiaceae. The record is from Rfam by way of RNAcentral.